CUGAGGAAAACAACACUUCCAGCUGCCGGUUUUUGUCAUCGUCACCAUCAAAUGAAGGAGGAGCUGACGACGACUCAAGCUCGGGCUGAAGUGACAGCUUACACCAGGCCUAGCCACCGCACUCAACCACCAUAAUUUUCGCCGCCUUGCUCAAUCCUAAUCUCCGAUUUCGGGCGACUCCCUCAACUCACCGUUGCUGCCAAUGUACUCAAGCUGAUCUGGGCUUCAAGACUCUGAAGUUCGAUCACCAACCAACACCGGGAAACUGAAGCACGCCCCAUCGCCGGAGCUAGGUUUCUGCAAUCCUUCAAUUUUCUCUCUACGGUCAUAAUGGAGCUCCAACACCUCCUGAAAUAGAAUCAACACUUCUUCUUUCACCAAAGCCCCAAUUCCCGACCUUCAAUUCCUACCAGAGCCGAAGUACGCGUCGUCGCUGGUACGUGAACCACCGCAACUUCGCCGUCAGUUUUCUAGGCUUCUUGAUUUGUAUUUGGAAUCGAGAAUUUGGGAAGUUUUGGAGGAGUGGAGCUGCUAGGUCAGUUUGGUUUAUGUUCAGGAUUGGAUUCCAAAGGAUUAAUGGUGGUCGAAUGCAGUUCCAAUGAAUUAAUUUCUAAAUUGGAAAAGAAGAAGAGAAAAUUAUACAAACAAUAUCCGAACUAAGGGUCACUAUUAACUUCAGUACCCGACUAUGCAAAACUAUCACUUUGGUACUCCAAGUUUGAAGCCCGACCCAAUAAUGAUACACUCCGUUCAUGACGGCGUUAACUAGCUAACCACAUGGCAUAUUUUGAGGGGCAAGGAUGCUAGUUGAGCUCUGGCAAAGAUGACUGAGAAUGAAGAAGACAUCGAUCACCGCCAACCGCCAAGGCCUCUUUAACAAAGAGAUCGGGAGACCAAAAACAAAAAUCACAGAGCAAAAAUUGUGGCCCUGAGAAAGAGAACCCGAGCCCUAAAGCCAUAGAUGGCAAUCCAUGGUGGAUCUGAAUCUGAAAACGACGGUGUUUGCUGCGAGGAAUGUGGGUCCGGCCACUUACCGGCGGAGCUUCUUCUUUGCGACAGGUGAGACACAGGGCACCAUCUGUUUUGCCUAGGACCCAUCUUGGUUAAUGUGCCAAAAGGCUCUUGGUUUGGGCCUUGUUGCUCCAAACAGAAGAAACACAAGUGUGAGAUUCAUUAAUUUGGCUUGUUUUGUUGGUUCAGAUUCGGAUUUGGUUCAAUAAAUUUUCAGGGAUUUUGUUGUUGUGUAAUUGAGUGGGUUUUUGUU
Molecule: long non-coding RNA, 1264 nt
Filed under: Rosa chinensis
Lineage: Eukaryota; Viridiplantae; Streptophyta; Magnoliopsida; Rosales; Rosaceae
Description: sRNA RchiOBHm_Chr2g0122801
Source: RNAcentral